RNAcentral lists this ribosomal RNA (987 nucleotides) under Halococcus hamelinensis. Its description in RNAcentral is "bacterial SSU rRNA". It matches the Rfam family "Archaeal small subunit ribosomal RNA", at positions 412 to 1396 of the family's 1478-position model. The record is from RNAcentral. Lineage: Archaea; Methanobacteriati; Methanobacteriota; Halobacteria; Halobacteriales; Halococcaceae.
CGCGACCGUAAGGUGGUCGCAGAAUAAGGGCUGGGCAAGACCGGUGCCAGCCGCCGCGGUAAUACCGGCAGCCCGAGUGAUAGCCAAUUUUAUUGGGCUAAAGCGUCCGUAGCUGGCCGAACAGGUCCGUCGGGAAAUCCACCCGCUUAACGGGUGGGCGUCCGGCGGAAACCAGUCGGCUUGGGGCCGAGAGACCAAAGGGGUACGUCCGGGGGUAGGAGUGAAAUCCUGUAAUCCUGGACGGACCACCGGUUGCGAAAGCGCCUUUGGAGAACGGACCCGACAGUGAGGGACGAAAGCUAGGGUCUCGAACCGGAUUAGAUACCCGGGUAGUCCUAGCCGUAAACGAUGCUCGCUAGGUGUGACGCAGGCUACGAGCCUGCGUUGCGCCGUAGGGAAGCCGAGAAGCGAGCCGCCUGGGAAGUACGUCCGCAAGGAUGAAACUUAAAGGAAUUGGCGGGGGAGCACUACAACCGGAGGAGCCUGCGGUUUAAUUGGACUCAACGCCGGACAUCUCACCGGCACCGACAACGUGCAGUGACGGUCAGUUUGAUGAGCUUACCUGAGCCGUUGAGAGGAGGUGCAUGGCCGCCGUCAGCUCGUACCGUGAGGCGUCCUGUUAAGUCAGGCAACGAGCGAGACCCGCGUCCAUAAUUGCCAGCAGCACCCUUGUGGUGGCUGGGUACAUUAUGGAGACUGCCGUCGCUAAGACGGAGGAAGGAACGGGCAACGGUAGGUCAGUAUGCCCCGAAUGUGCCGGGCGACACGCGGGCUACAAUGGCCAGGACAGUGGGACGCUACCCCGAGAGGGGACGCUAAUCUCCUAACCCUGGUCGUAGUUCGGAUUGCGGAUUGAAACUCAUCCGCAUGAAGCUGGAUUCGGUAGUAAUCGCGUUUCAGAAGAGCGCGGUGAAUACGUCCCUGCUCCUUGCACACACCGCCCGUCAAAUCACCCGAGUGAGGUCGGGGAUGAGGCCGACGCAACGU